AGAGUUUGAUCCUGGCUCAGGACGAAUGCUGGCGGCGUGCUUAAUACAUGCAAGUCGAACGGAGUUAAGGGUUUCGGCCUUUAACUUAGUGGCGAACGGGUGAGUAACGCGUGAAUAACCUGACUCAAAGAGGGGGAUAACAACGGGAAACUGUUGCUAAUACCGCAUGAGACCACAACACCGCAUGAUGAAGGGGUCAAAGAUUUAUCGCUUUGAGAGGGGUUCGCGUCCCAUUAGGUAGUUGGAGGGGUAACGGCCCACCAAGCCAACGAUGGGUAGCCGAGCUGAGAGGCUGAUCGGCCACACUGGAACUGAGACACGGUCCAGACUCCUACGGGAGGCAGCAGUAGGGAAUAUUGGGCAAUGGGCGCAAGCCUGACCCAGCAACGCCGCGUGAGGGAAGAAGGUUUUCGGAUUGUAAACCUCUGUCCUAUGUGACGAAGGAAGUGACGGUAGCAUAGGAGGAAGCCCCGGCUAACUACGUGCCAGCAGCCGCGGUAAUACGUAGGGGGCGAGCGUUGUCCGGAAUUACUGGGCGUAAAGGGUGCGUAGGCGGUUUGGUAAGUUGGAUGUGAAAUACCCGGGCUUAACUUGGGGGCUGCAUCCAAUACUGUCGGACUUGAGUGCAGGAGAGGAAAGCGGAAUUCCUAGUGUAGCGGUGAAAUGCGUAGAUAUUAGGAGGAACACCGGUGGCGAAGGCGGCUUUCUGGACUGUAACUGACGCUGAGGCGCGAAAGCUGGGGGAGCGAACAGGAUUAGAUACCCUGGUAGUCCCAGCCGUAAACGAUGGACGCUAGGUGUGGGGGGACGAUCCCCCCGUGCCGCAGCCAACGCAUUAAGCGUCCCGCCUGGGGAGUACGGCCGCAAGGCUAAAACUCAAAGGAAUUGACGGGGGCCCGCACAAGCAGCGGAGCAUGUGGCUUAAUUCGAAGCAACGCGAAGAACCUUACCAGGGCUUGACAUAUGGGUGAAGCGGGGGAGACCCGUGGCCGAGAGGAGCCCAUACAGGUGGUGCAUGGCUGUCGUCAGCUCGUGUCGUGAGAUGUUGGGUUAAGUCCCGCAACGAGCGCAACCCCCGCCGCGUGUUGCCAUCGGGUGAUGCCGGGAACCCACGCGGGACCGCCGCCGUCAAGGCGGAGGAGGGCGGGGACGACGUCAAGUCAUCAUGCCCCUUAUGCCCUGGGCUGCACACGUGCUACAAUGGCCGGUACAGAGGGAUGCCACCCCGCGAGGGGGAGCGGAUCCCGGAAAGCCGGCCCCAGUUCGGAUUGGGGGCUGCAACCCGCCCCCAUGAAGUCGGAGUUGCUAGUAAUCGCGGAUCAGCAUGCCGCGGUGAAUACGUUCCCGGGUCUUGUACACACACGCCCGUCA
Molecule: ribosomal RNA, 1371 nt
Filed under: uncultured bacterium
Lineage: Bacteria
Description: partial 16S ribosomal RNA
Rfam family: Bacterial small subunit ribosomal RNA
Source: RNAcentral